This 107-nucleotide small nuclear RNA is filed under the name Carlito syrichta (Philippine tarsier). The record is from RNAcentral. Lineage: Eukaryota; Metazoa; Chordata; Mammalia; Primates; Tarsiidae.
GUGCUCACUGCAGCAGGGCAUAUGCUAAAAUUGGAGCCAUUCAGAGACAAUUUGCAUGGCCCCUACACAAAGAUGACUCACAAAUUCAUGAAGUGUUCCAUGUUUUU